Molecule: ribosomal RNA, 940 nt
Filed under: Dentipellicula leptodon
Lineage: Eukaryota; Fungi; Basidiomycota; Agaricomycetes; Russulales; Wrightoporiaceae
Description: partial large subunit ribosomal RNA
Rfam family: Eukaryotic large subunit ribosomal RNA
Source: RNAcentral
GCAUAUCAAUAAGCGGAGGAAAAGAAACUAACAAGGAUUCCCCUAGUAACUGCGAGUGAAGCGGGAAAAGCUCAAAUUUAAAAUCUGGCGGUCUUUGGCCGUCCGAGUUGUAAUCUAGAGAAGUGCUUUCCGCGCUGGACCGUGUACAAGUCUCCUGGAAUGGAGCGUCAUAGAGGGUGAGAAUCCCGUCUUUGACACGGACUACCAGUGCUCUGUGAUGCGCUCUCAAAGAGUCGAGUUGUUUGGGAAUGCAGCUCAAAAUGGGUGGUGAAUUCCAUCUAAAGCUAAAUAUUGGCGAGAGACCGAUAGCGAACAAGUACCGUGAGGGAAAGAUGAAAAGAACUUUGAAAAGAGAGUUAAACAGUACGUGAAAUUGUUGAAAGGGAAACGCUUGAAGUCAGUCGCGUUUGCCAGAACUCAGCCUUGCAUCUGCUUGGUGUACUUUCUGGUGAACGGGCCAGCAUCAAUUUUGACCGCUGGAUAAUGGCGGGGGGAAGGUGGCACCUUCGGGUGUGUUAUAGCCCCCUGUCGCAUACAGUGGUUGGGAUUGAGGAAUUCAGCAUGCCUUUAUGGUCGGGGUUCGCCCACGUUCAUGCUUAGGAUGCUGGCGUAAUGGCUUUAAACGACCCGUCUUGAAACACGGACCAAGGAGUCUAACAUGCCUGCGAGUGUUUGGGUGGAAAACCCAUGCGCGUAAUGAAAGUGAAAGUUGAGACCUCUUCACGGAGGGCACCGACGCCCGGACCUGAGCUUCUGCGACGGAUCUGCGGUAGAGCAUGUAUGUUGGGACCCGAAAGAUGGUGAACUAUGCCUGAAUAGGGUGAAGCCAGAGGAAACUCUGGUGGAGGCUCGUAGCGAUUCUGACGUGCAAAUCGAUCGUCAAAUUUGGGUAUAGGGGCGAAAGACUAAUCGAACCAUCUAGUAGCUGGUUCCUGCCGAU